GACGAACGCUGGCGGCGUGCUUAACACAUGCAAGUCGAGCGGUAAGGCCCUUUCGGGGGUACACGAGCGGCGAACGGGUGAGUAACACGUGGGUGACCUGCCCUCAGCUCUGGGAUAAGCCUGGGAAACCGGGUCUAAUACCGAUAUGACUCCAUGACGCAUGUUGUGGGGUGGAAAGCCUUGUGCGGCUGAGGAUGGGCCCGCGGCCUAUCAGCUUGUUGGUGGGGUGAUGGCCUACCAAGGCGACGACGGGUAGCCGGCCUGAGAGGGCGACCGGCCACACUGGGACUGAGACACGGCCCAGACUCCUACGGGAGGCAGCAGUGGGGAAUCUUGCGCAAUGGGCGAAAGCCUGACGCAGCGACGCCGCGUGAGGGAUGACGGCCUC
Molecule: ribosomal RNA, 388 nt
Filed under: uncultured bacterium
Lineage: Bacteria
Description: bacterial SSU rRNA
Rfam family: Bacterial small subunit ribosomal RNA
Source: RNAcentral